Molecule: long non-coding RNA, 331 nt
Filed under: Musa acuminata (dwarf banana)
Lineage: Eukaryota; Viridiplantae; Streptophyta; Magnoliopsida; Zingiberales; Musaceae
Description: long non-coding RNA (MACU_LNC008055)
Source: RNAcentral
UGCCUCACUCUCCUUCCUCGCCGGCCGCAGCGGCCUCGGCCGAAGCUCUGUCACGCUUUCCAAGGCUCCCACGACUCCUUCGAGUUCGCUCCUCCACACCUCCUUCCGUUCCUCUCCUUUUGGAUCUCUGUCCUCGCCUUCGUCCUUCUUCGGUAUGCAUUCCUUAUGUUUCCUUUUUGUCCUCUAGAUAUAUUAUUAUUUCCCCACCCACGUCACUUGUCGUUUUGGAACCUUUUCUUUUGGAGGAGGGAGUGUCUUCAAUUGAUAAUUUUGUUCCCAAGCAGUGUAAAAUUCACUAUCAUGAUUCUAAAGUCUGAUUUUUUCAUAAAAU